Molecule: ribosomal RNA, 462 nt
Filed under: uncultured bacterium
Lineage: Bacteria
Description: partial 16S ribosomal RNA
Rfam family: Bacterial small subunit ribosomal RNA
Source: RNAcentral
GACGAACGCUGGCGGCGUGCUUAACACAUGCAAGUCGAACGGAAAGGCCCUUCGGGGUCCUCGAGUGGCGCACGGGUGAGUAACACGUGGGUGAUCUGCCCUGCACUUUGGGAUAAGCCUGGGAAACUGGGUCUAAUACCGAAUAGGACCACGCGCUUCAUGGUGUGUGGUGGCAAGCUUUUGCGUAGUGGGAUGGGCCCGCGGCCUAUCAGCUUGUUGGUGGGGUAAUGGCCUACCAAGGCGAGGACCGGUAGCCGGCCUGAGAGGGUGACCGGCCACACUGGGACGGAGAUACGGCCCAGACUCCUACGGGAGGCAGGAGUGGGGAAUAUUGUACAAUGGGCGCAAGCCUGAUGCAGCGACGCCGCGUGGGGGAUGACGGCCUUCGGGUUGUAAACUACUUUCAAUAGGGACGAAGCGAAAGUGACGGUACCUAUAGAAGAAGCACCGGCCAACUACGUG